GAUGAACGCUGGCGGCGUGCUUAACACAUGCAAGUCGAACGAUGAUCCCAGCUUGCUGGGGGAUUAGUGGCGAACGGGUGAGUAACACGUGAGUAACCUGCCCUUGACUCUGGGAUAAGCCUGGGAAACUGGGUCUAAUACCGGAUAUGACUCCUCAUCGCAUGGUGGGGGGUGGAAAGCUUUUGUGGUUUUGGAUGGACUCGCGGCCUAUCAGCUUGUUGGUGGGGUAAUGGCCUACCAAGGCGACGACGGGUAGCCGGCCUGAGAGGGUGACCGGCCACACUGGGACUGAGACACGGCCCAGACUCCUACGGGAGGCAG
RNAcentral lists this ribosomal RNA (321 nucleotides) under uncultured Actinomycetes bacterium. Its description in RNAcentral is "bacterial SSU rRNA". It matches the Rfam family "Bacterial small subunit ribosomal RNA", at positions 28 to 351 of the family's 1533-position model. The record is from RNAcentral. Lineage: Bacteria; Bacillati; Actinomycetota; Actinomycetes.